AGAAUCAACGCUGGCGGCGUGCCUAACACAUGCAAGUCGAACGAGAAAGUGGAGCAAUCCAUGAGUAAAGUGGCGCACGGGUGAGUAACACGUGACUAACCUACCCUUGAGUGGGGAAUAACCUAGGGAAACCUGGCUAAUACCGCAUAACACCUACGGGUCAAAGGAGCAAUUCGCUUAAGGAGGGGUCGCGGCAGAUUAGCUAGUUGGCGGGGUAAUGGCCCACCAAGGCAGUGAUCUGUA
RNAcentral lists this ribosomal RNA (243 nucleotides) under uncultured bacterium. Its description in RNAcentral is "partial small subunit ribosomal RNA". It matches the Rfam family "Bacterial small subunit ribosomal RNA", at positions 26 to 285 of the family's 1533-position model. The record is from RNAcentral.